AGGACGAACGCUGGCGGCGUGCUUAACACAUGCAAGUCGAACGGUGAAGGAGAGCUUGCUCUCCGGAUCAGUGGCGAACGGGUGAGUAACACGUGAGUAACCUGCCCUUGACUCUGGGAUAAGCGUUGGAAACGACGUCUAAUACCGGAUACGAGCUUCAGCCGCAUGGCUAGGAGCUGGAAAGAAUUUCGGUCAAGGAUGGACUCGCGGCCUAUCAGCUAGUUGGUGAGGUAAUGGCUCACCAAGGCGACGACGGGUAGCCGGCCUGAGAGGGUGACCGGCCACACUGGGACUGAGACACGGCCCAGACUCCUACGGGAGGCAGCAGUGGGAAUAUUGCACAAUGGGCGCAAGCCUGAUGCAGCAACGCCGCGGUGGGGACGAAGGCCGUCGGUUGUACGACCGUCGUUUAGUAGGAAGAAGCGAAAGUGACGGUACUGACAGAAAAGCAACCGCUAACGUACGUACGCC
This 471-nucleotide ribosomal RNA is filed under the name uncultured soil bacterium. Its description in RNAcentral is "bacterial SSU rRNA". It matches the Rfam family "Bacterial small subunit ribosomal RNA", at positions 26 to 513 of the family's 1533-position model. The record is from RNAcentral.